Molecule: non-coding RNA, 75 nt
Organism: Streptomyces violaceusniger Tu 4113
Lineage: Bacteria; Bacillati; Actinomycetota; Actinomycetes; Kitasatosporales; Streptomycetaceae
Source: Rfam
CUUGAUGGCCCCCAGCAACAGCGGCCGACCCUCCGGCCGGCCCUGCCCAUAUGUCGCGAGCAGCGCCUGCGCCUC